AAGUCGUAACAAGGUUUCCGUAGGUGAACCUGCGGAAGGAUCAUUAAAAAAAUUAAUGAAUGUCGGGGGGGGCGUUCGGGUUUCUUACCUGUCGCUCUCCGUGUAUUCAACCAACCCGCUCUUGUAUUUGGAUCAACCAAAAAUUAACAAAAUACCUAUACAUAAUAAAAAAUAAACUUUCAACAACGGAUCUCUUGGCUCUC
RNAcentral lists this unclassified non-coding RNA (203 nucleotides) under fungal sp. Its description in RNAcentral is "partial internal transcribed spacer region". The stretch from base 1 to 46 matches the Rfam family "Eukaryotic small subunit ribosomal RNA", at positions 1786 to 1831 of the family's 1831-position model. The record is from RNAcentral. Lineage: Eukaryota; Fungi.